Molecule: ribosomal RNA, 468 nt
Filed under: uncultured bacterium
Lineage: Bacteria
Description: partial 16S ribosomal RNA
Rfam family: Bacterial small subunit ribosomal RNA
Source: RNAcentral
GACGAACGCUGGCGGCGUGCUUAACACAUGCAAGUCGAACGGAAAGGCCCUGCUUUUGUGGGGUGCUCGAGUGGCGAACGGGUGAGUAACACGUGAGUAACCUGCCCUUGACUUUGGGAUAACUUCAGGAAACUGGGGCUAAUACCGGAUCGGAGCUCCUGCUGCAUGGUGGGGGUUGGAAAGUUUCGGCGGUUGGGGAUGGACUAGCGGCUUAUCAGCUUGUUGGUGGGGUAGUGGCUUACCAAGGCUUUGACGGGUAGCCGGCCUGAGAGGGUGACCGGGCACAUUGGGACUGAGAUACGGCCCAGACGCCUACGGGAGGCAGCAGUGGGGAAUAUUGCACAAUGGGCGGAAGCCUGAUGCAGCAACGCCGCGGGCGGGAUGACGGCCUGCGGGUUGUAAACCGCUUUCGCCUGUGACGAAGCGUGAGUGACGGUAAUGGGUAAAGAAGCACCGGCUAACUACGUG